Molecule: long non-coding RNA, 1765 nt
Organism: Myiozetetes cayanensis
Lineage: Eukaryota; Metazoa; Chordata; Aves; Passeriformes; Tyrannidae
Exons: 3
Source: RefSeq, a predicted model, not a curated record
UGCGAAAACACUGGAGAGCGAGCUCUGUUUAGGAGACUUUUGAAGUGGAAAGAACGGAUUGUUGUCUGCGAUUAGGAGGGCUCGAGGAGCGAGCCGCAGCCGGGGCAGUGGAAGCCACCCGGCCCGGAGGAACGGGGAGCCCCUGGGGCAGGAGGGACCAGAGAGAAGGGGAAGUAAAGAACAAAGGCAGCCAGGAAAAUAAAUAGCAAUGCGUAGCCGCCUCGAAGUGGCAAGCUGGAAGAAAACAAAGAGAGGGAAAAUCGAGUGGUAAAUACUAAAAAAAUUAACAGAGGAAUAAUCAUGACAAUUGUGCCUUGUGUGUGGGAAAAUACGAACGUUAGAAGCGUGAUACUGCAAAACAUGGACAGAAAGAUCUGCACCUGCCUUAAAGUCACAAUCCGGCCACAGCCUCUCCAUCUAUCCCCAAUGCUCCAAUGCCCCAGACACUGCUGAUCAGCUGAAAUGGAGGUCACCAAGCAGGAGCCAGCACUACUCUGAAGCUCCUCAUACAACUUGUGCUCAAGAAGAAAAGUGCAUCACAUACAUGCUCAGGAGAGAGAACUAGAGGGGUCUGUCUUCUAGCAUAAACCUGGAUGGCCACUUGGAAGGAUAGUCCCACAGUUCCUGUUGUACCUGUGAUUCGACUGCUCACUCCUUGCUCCAGCACCCACAUUUCUGUAAUGAUGGGUCAGAGAAUCUGGGGACUGAUCUGUCUGAGUUCAUGAGUUCACUUUGGCUGAGUAAAUGAGUUCAAGGGAAAAAGGUAACACCUGGGGACACAGCAGACUUGUUUAAGGCCCAGACUGGAAGGAGAUCUAAGAAGAUGGUUUGUCUGGGCUCCAGGAUGCAGCUCCCUUAUUGUGGGGCAGGUAAGGCAUUCUUAAGAGAAAUUAAAGCUCAAGAUGAGCUCAGAAUACCAAACAAAUCUGCAAAGAUUGUUCAUAGCUGGACCCAUUUUUAAUAAACUGGCAUCCACACAAGAAUUCAAAAUAGGCCAGGUUUUCCUUUUACAAAAUUUAUAUUUUAGUUUCUAAAGUAAUAGAUGUUUAAGUGUAAAGUUAAAAUAGAGAAAAAAGGCAAUAAAAUACCACAACACUUAUUACAUAAUAAAAGUCUCAGAGAGAAGAUGCUAGCUUUUCUCCAAGUAACAGGAUUGUAUUCCUGGUUGCAUUUAAAGCCUUUAUUUUUCAUGUCAUCACUGACAUUAGAGAGUUCUGUAAACCACAAGUAUCUUUAACAGCUUGUCUUGCUACCUACAUAGCCAUUUAUUCAAGUAUAAAGAUUAAAUUAAAAAUAAAUGAAAGCAACUGAUGCAUGAGUGCACUCUGGCAAAAAAAAAAAAAAAAAAAAAAACACAAAAAAACCCCAAGUUCCCAAUGCCUGAUGGGGACCUUGCUGAGAGAAGGUAACCAUGUGAGUAAACACCAACUGCUGGCUUAGCCUUACAUAUAAGAAAUCUGUUACAGCAGGUAACUGAAAGCCUUUACAUGGUAAAUAGCAAGAUUUACUUUUCUGUUUCUAUAGCAUGAUCUGAGAUCUCUGCAGAGGUCUCUGUCAAAAGACUCAAUUUUAGCCUGAUUUCCUAAGGAAAGAAGGCUUAUGCAAUUACACUGUCUGUUGGUGUUUUUGUCUGUGGGUCACAUUAUUUCCCCCACUUUCCUUGCCAAGAAAGCAUGUUUAAACCAUUGCUCAAUUCCAUCUAAAUUUGUACAAAAGUAACUUAAGUGAAAUGAAAAGCCAAAUGGAUGAAACAGGUCCUAAUAAA